Long non-coding RNA from Aethina tumida (small hive beetle), 355 nucleotides. RefSeq lists it as uncharacterized. The record is from RefSeq and is a predicted model, not a curated record. NCBI's taxonomy places the organism in Eukaryota, Metazoa, Arthropoda, Insecta, Coleoptera, Nitidulidae. The transcript is spliced from 2 exons.
AACACAUAAUGAAUCGGAAGCCACACAAUGCACAUUUUUUAGAUUAAAUAAAUUGUAUAUAAACGACUCGAUUUCAUAAUUAAAUCACAGUUUGUUUUAGAAGGUUCUAAACAAAACAACUAGUAAAAAUGUUCAAAUCCCUGUUGGUCCUUGCUAUUUUGGCAAUUGCUUUUGUAGCAGCUAAACCAGAUCCAUCUCCUGCCAUUUACGCACCUGCUGCUUUACCCUACACCUAUUCUGCCCCAUACGCUGGAUACUCUUUCGGAGCUUUCCCAUCUCUUGCCUACAGUGCUGGAUUAUAUGGAUAUUAUUAAAAUGUUGGAAAAGAUAAUAAAAUUGACCAUAUAGCUUACAA